This 36-nucleotide transfer RNA is filed under the name Dolichovespula arctica. Its description in RNAcentral is "partial tRNA-Leu". The record is from RNAcentral. Lineage: Eukaryota; Metazoa; Arthropoda; Insecta; Hymenoptera; Vespidae.
UCAAAUAUAAAGAAUUUAUUUAUUCUUUUAUUAUAA